ACACAUGCAAGUCGAACGAGAAUCUGAUGAAGGAGUUUUCGGACAACUGAUUCAGAGGAAAGUGGCGGACGGGUGAGUAACGCGUGAGGAACCUGCCUUGAAGAGGGGGACAACAGUUGGAAACGACUGCUAAUACCGCAUGACGCAUAGGGAUCGCAUGAUCUUUAUGCCAAAGAUUUAUCGCUUCAAGAUGGCCUCGCGUCUGAUUAGCUAGUUGGCGGGGUAACGGCCCACCAAGGCGACGAUCAGUAGCCGGACUGAGAGGUUGAACGGCCACAUUGGGACUGAGAUACGGCCCAGACUCCUACGGGAGGCAGCAGUGGGGAAUAUUGGGCAAUGGGCGCAAGCCUGACCCAGCAACGCCGCGUGAAGGAAGAAGGCUUUCGGGUUGUAAACUUCUUUUAAGAGGGAAGAGCAGAAGACGGUACCUCUAGAAUAAGCCACGGCUAACUACGUGCCAGCAGCCGCGGUAAUACGUAGGUGGCAAGCGUUGUCCGGAUUUACUGGGUGUAAAGGGCGUGCAGCCGGGUCUGCAAGUCAGAUGUGAAAUCCAUGGGCUCAACCCAUGAACUGCAUUUGAAACUGUAGAUCUUGAGUGUCGGAGGGGCAAUCGGAAUUCCUAGUGUAGCGGUGAAAUGCGUAGAUAUUAGGAGGAACACCAGUGGCGAAGGCGGAUUGCUGGACGAUAACUGACGGUGAGGCGCGAAAGUGUGGGGAGCAAACAGGAUUAGAUACCCUGG
This 740-nucleotide ribosomal RNA is filed under the name uncultured bacterium. RNAcentral describes it as "bacterial SSU rRNA". It matches the Rfam family "Bacterial small subunit ribosomal RNA", at positions 51 to 790 of the family's 1533-position model. The record is from RNAcentral.